UUCGGUGCGAGAUUUGGUAGGAAAAGGGUGAAUGGUGGAAAUAGCCUCCCUUGUUCUUCAUCUACUGUGCUAUUUUAUUCUUCUUUCUCCACAGAAGAUGCAACAUUUCUUGCCUCCCUUAUAGUCAAGAGGAUGGAACAAUAUUUUCUGUUGUCCAUCUAUCUAGCUUUUCUUCUCCUUCAGAAGCCAUCUAUCUAGAGAAGCUGAUA
Molecule: long non-coding RNA, 209 nt
Filed under: Elaeis guineensis (African oil palm)
Lineage: Eukaryota; Viridiplantae; Streptophyta; Magnoliopsida; Arecales; Arecaceae
Description: long non-coding RNA (EGUI_LNC081712)
Source: RNAcentral